GGCAGGGCGGCAGCCUACACAUGCAGUCCGAACGGUAGCACAGAGUAAGCUUGCUCUCGGGUGACGAGUGGCGGACGGGUGAGUAAUGUCUGGGAAACUGCCUGAUGGAGGGGGAUAACUACUGGAAACGGUAGCUAAUACCGCAUAACGUCGCAAGACCAAAGAGGGGGACCUUCGGGCCUCUUGCCAUCAGAUGUGCCCAGAUGGGAUUAGCUAGUAGGUGGGGUAACGGCUCACCUAGGCGACGAUCCCUAGCUGGUCUGAGAGGAUGACCAGCCACACUGGAACUGAGACACGGUCCAGACUCCUACGGGAGGCAGCAGUGGGGAAUAUUGCACAAUGGGCGCAAGCCUGAUGCAGCCAUGCCGCGUGUAUGAAGAAGGCCUUCGGGUUGUAAAGUACUUUCAGCGGGGAGGAAGGCGAUGAGGUUAAUAACCUUGUCGAUUGACGUUACCCGCAGAAGAAGCACCGGCUAACUCCGUGCCAGCAGCCGCGGUAAUACGGAGGGUGCAAGCGUUAAUCGGAAUUACUGGGCGUAAAGCGCACGCAGGCGGUCUGUCAAGUCGGAUGUGAAAUCCCCGGGCUCAACCUGGGAACUGCAUUCGAAACUGGCAGGCUAGAGUCUUGUAGAGGGGGGUAGAAUUCCAGGUGUAGCGGUGAAAUGCGUAAAGAUCUGGAGGAAUACCGGUGGCGAAGGCGG
Molecule: ribosomal RNA, 700 nt
Filed under: Klebsiella oxytoca
Lineage: Bacteria; Pseudomonadati; Pseudomonadota; Gammaproteobacteria; Enterobacterales; Enterobacteriaceae
Description: bacterial SSU rRNA
Rfam family: Bacterial small subunit ribosomal RNA
Source: RNAcentral